This 1090-nucleotide unclassified non-coding RNA is filed under the name Gloeothece membranacea KL21. RNAcentral describes it as "bacterial SSU rRNA". It matches the Rfam family "Bacterial small subunit ribosomal RNA", at positions 356 to 1461 of the family's 1533-position model. Lineage: Bacteria; Bacillati; Cyanobacteriota; Cyanophyceae; Chroococcales; Aphanothecaceae. The record is from RNAcentral.
GGGGAAUUUUCCGCAAUGGGCGAAAGCCUGACGGAGCAACGCCGCGUGAGGGAGGAAGGCCCUUGGGUUGUAAACCUCUUUUCUGGGGGAAGAAGAACUGACGGUACCCCAGGAAUAAGCAUCGGCUAACUCCGUGCCAGCAGCCGCGGUAAUACGGAGGAUGCAAGCGUUAUCCGGAAUCAUUGGGCGUAAAGCGUCCGCAGGUGGCUAUUCAAGUCUGCUGUCAAAGCAUGGAGCUUAACUCCAUAGAGGCGGUGGAAACUGAAAGGCUAGAGGCCGGUAGGGGUAGUGGGAAUUCCCAGUGUAGCGGUGAAAUGCGUAGAGAUUGGGAAGAACAUCGGUGGCGAAAGCGCACUACUGGGCAGGACCUGACACUGAGGGACGAAAGCUAGGGGAGCAAAAGGGAUUAGAUACCCCUGUAGUCCUAGCCGUAAACGAUGGAGACUAGGCGUAGCUUGUAUCGACCCGAGCUGUGCCGAAGCUAACGCGUUAAGUCUCCCGCCUGGGGAGUACGCACGCAAGUGUGAAACUCAAAGGAAUUGACGGGGGCCCGCACAAGCGGUGGAGUAUGUGGUUUAAUUCGAUGCAACGCGAAGAACCUUACCAGGGCUUGACAUCUGUAGAACCUUGCGGAAACGUGAGGGUGCCUUCGGGAGCUACAAGACAGGUGGUGCAUGGCUGUCGUCAGCUCGUGUCGUGAGAUGUUGGGUUAAGUCCCGCAACGAGCGCAACCCUCGUUUUUAGUUGCCAUCAUUAAGUUGGGCACUCUAGAGAGACUGCCGGUGACAAACCGGAGGAAGGUGGGGAUGACGUCAAGUCAGCAUGCCCCUUACGUCCUGGGCUACACACGUACUACAAUGGUCGGGACAGAGGGCAGCGAACUCGCAAGAGCAAGCGAAUCUCAUCAAACUCGGCCUCAGUUCAGAUUGCAGGCUGCAACUCGCCUGCAUGAAGGAGGAAUCGCUAGUAAUCGCCGGUCAGCAUACGGCGGUGAAUUCGUUCCCGGGCCUUGUACACACCGCCCGUCACACCAUGGGAGCUGGCCACGCCCGAAGUCGUUACCCUAACCGAAAGGAGGGGGAUGCCGAAG